RNAcentral lists this ribosomal RNA (484 nucleotides) under uncultured bacterium. RNAcentral describes it as "partial 16S ribosomal RNA". It matches the Rfam family "Bacterial small subunit ribosomal RNA", at positions 28 to 523 of the family's 1533-position model. The record is from RNAcentral.
GACGAACGCUGGCGGCGUGCUUAACACAUGCAAGUCGAACGAUGAAGCCGGAGCUUGCUCUGGUGAAUUAGUGGCGAACGGGUGAGUAACACGUGAGUAACCUGCCCUUGACUCUGGGAUAACUGCGGGAAACUGUAGCUAAUACCGGAUACGACCCUCGGAGGCAUCUCCUGGGGGUGGAAAGAAUUUCGGUCAAGGAUGGACUCGCGGCCGAUCAGCUAGUUGGUGAGGUAAAGGCUCACCAAGGCGACGAGGGGUAGCCGGCCUGAGGGGGUGACCGGCCACACUGGGACUGAGACGCGGCCCAGACUCCUACGGGAGGCAGCAGUGGGGAAUAUUGCACAAUGGGCGCGAGCCUGAUGCAGCAACGCCGCGUGAGGGAUGACGGCCUUCGGGUUGUAAACCUCUUUUAGCAGGGAAGAAGCGAAAGUGACGGUACCUGCAGAAAAAGCACCGGCUAACUACGUGCCAGCCGCCGCCGUAA